Molecule: ribosomal RNA, 548 nt
Filed under: fungal sp. Griff. DX-FIL5
Lineage: Eukaryota; Fungi
Description: eukaryotic LSU rRNA
Rfam family: 5.8S ribosomal RNA (bases 181-334)
Source: RNAcentral
UUCCGUAGGGUGAACCUGCGGAGGGAUCAUUACCGAGUUUACAACUCCCAAACCCCUGUGAACAUACCUAUACGUUGCCUCGGCGGAUCAGCCCGCGCCCCGUAAAACGGGACGGCCCGCCCGAGGACCCUAAACUCUGUUUUUAGUGGAACUUCUGAGUAAAACAAACAAAUAAAUCAAAACUUUCAACAACGGAUCUCUUGGUUCUGGCAUCGAUGAAGAACGCAGCAAAAUGCGAUAAGUAAUGUGAAUUGCAGAAUUCAGUGAAUCAUCGAAUCUUUGAACGCACAUUGCGCCCGCCAGUAUUCUGGCGGGCAUGCCUGUUCGAGCGUCAUUUCAACCCUCAAGCUCAGCUUGGUGUUGGGACUCGCGGUAACCCGCGUUCCCCAAAUCGAUUGGCGGUCACGUCGAGCUUCCAUAGCGUAGUAAUCAUACACCUCGUUACUGGUAAUCGUCGCGGCCACGCCGUAAAACCCCAACUUCUGAAUGUUGACCUCGGAUCAGGUAGGAAUACCCGCUGAACUUAAGCAUAUCAAUAAGCGGAGGAA